This 798-nucleotide ribosomal RNA is filed under the name uncultured Glomus. RNAcentral's name for it is "SSU rRNA". It matches the Rfam family "Eukaryotic small subunit ribosomal RNA", at positions 314 to 1114 of the family's 1831-position model. The record is from RNAcentral. Lineage: Eukaryota; Fungi; Glomeromycota; Glomeromycetes; Glomerales; Glomeraceae.
AUCAACUUUCGAUGGUAGGAUAGAGGCNUACCAUGGUGGUAACGGGUAACGGGGUGUUAGGGCACGACACCGGAGAGGGAGCNUGAGAAACGGCUACCACAUCCAAGGAUGGCAGCAGGCGCGCAAAUUACCCAAUCCCGACACGGGGAGGUAGUGACAAUAAAUAACAAUACGGGGUUCUUUCGGAUUUCGUAAUUGGAAUGAGUACAAUUUAAAUCUCUUAACGAGGAACAAUUGGAGGGCAAGUCUGGUGCCAGCAGCCGCGGUAAUUCCAGCUCCAAUAGCGUAUAUUAAAGUUGCUGCAGUUAAAAAGCUCGUAGUUGAAUUUCGGGACCAAUAUGUCGGUCGUGCCUCGGUACGUACUGGCAUCGUUGGUUUCUCCCUUCUGACGAACCAUGAUGUCAUUUAUUUGGUGUCGUGGGGAAUCAGGACUGUUACUUUGAAAAAAUUAGAGUGUUUAAAGCAGGCUCACGCUUGAAUACAUUAGCAUGGAAUAAUGAAAUAGGACGUUUGAUUCUAUUUUGUUGGUUUCUAGGAUCGACGUAAUGAUUAAUAGGGAUAGUUGGGGGCAUUAGUAUUCAAUUGUCAGAGGUGAAAUUCUUGGAUUUAUUGAAGACUAACUACUGCGAAAGCAUUUGCCAAGGAUGUUUUCAUUAAUCAAGAACGAAAGUUAGGGGAUCGAAGACGAUCAGAUACCGUCGUAGUCUUAACCAUAAACUGUGCCGACUAGGGAUCGGAUGAUGUUAAUUUUUUAACGACUCAUUCGGCGCCUUACGGGAAACCAAAGUGUUUGGGUUC